This 425-nucleotide ribosomal RNA is filed under the name uncultured prokaryote. RNAcentral's name for it is "bacterial SSU rRNA". It matches the Rfam family "Bacterial small subunit ribosomal RNA", at positions 355 to 774 of the family's 1533-position model. The record is from RNAcentral.
UAAGGAAUAUUGGUCAAUGGGCGAAAGCCUGAACCUGCGACGCCGCGUGAGUGAUGAAGGUCGUAAGAUCGUAAAACUCUUUUCAGGGAUCUUAAAGCCUGUCUGUCAACAACAGGCAGGUCUGACUCUCCCUGGAAGAAGCCCCAGCCAACUACGUGCCAGCAGCUGCGGUAAUACGUAGGGGGCGAGCGUUAUUCGGAAUUACUGGGUGUAAAGGGUAUGUAGGCGGCCCUUCAAGUCGCGUGUCAAAGUCCAGUGCUCAACGCUGGGUGUGCGCGCGAUACUGACGGGCUUGAGGGCUGGAGAGGUGAGCGGAAUUCCCGGUGUAGUGGUAAAAUACGUAGAGAUCGGGAGGAACACCAGCGGCGCAGGCGGCUGACUAGAGAGUUUCUGACGCUAAGAUACAAAAGCGUGGGGAGGAAACA